GGCUGUGUGGUCUAGUGGUAUGAUUCUCGCUUAGGGUGCCAGAGGUCCCAAGUUCAGUUCUCGGCACAGCCC
Molecule: transfer RNA, 72 nt
Filed under: Perkinsus olseni
Lineage: Eukaryota; Perkinsozoa; Perkinsida; Perkinsidae
Description: tRNA-Pro
Rfam family: tRNA
About the family: Transfer RNA (tRNA) molecules are approximately 80 nucleotides in length.
Source: RNAcentral